Molecule: ribosomal RNA, 253 nt
Filed under: uncultured bacterium
Lineage: Bacteria
Description: partial 16S ribosomal RNA
Rfam family: Bacterial small subunit ribosomal RNA
Source: RNAcentral
UACGGAGGAGGCAAGCGUUAUCCGGAAUUAUUGGGCGUAAAGCGUCCGCAGGUGGCGAUUCAAGUCUGCGGUCAAAGACUGGGGCUUAACCCUGGAAAGGCCGUGGAAACUGAAUAGCUAGAGUGCAGUAGGGGUAGAGGGAAUUCCCGGUGUAGUGGUGAAAUGCGUGGAUAUCGGGAGGAACACCAGUGGCGAAGGCGACUACCUGGCCUGUUCUUGACGCUGAGGCGCGAAAGCUAGGGUAGCAAACGGG